CAGUAGCCGCGGUAAUACGAGGGGUGCAAGCGUUAUUCGGAUUGAUUGGGUGUAAGGGGUGUGCAGACGGCUUAUUAAGUCACUUGUUAAAUUCUUCGGCCUAACUGAAGGUCUGCAAGUGAUACUGAUGAGCUAGAGGGUGGAAGAGAGAAGUGGAAUUCUCGGAGUAGCGGUAAAAUGCGUAGAUCUCGAGAGGAACACCAAUGGCGAAGGCAGCUUCUUGGUCCAUUCCUGACGUUCAUACACGAAAGCGUGGGGAGCAAACAGGAUUAGAUACCCCAGUAGUCCCUGUCUCUUAUAC
Molecule: ribosomal RNA, 301 nt
Filed under: uncultured bacterium
Lineage: Bacteria
Description: partial 16S ribosomal RNA
Rfam family: Bacterial small subunit ribosomal RNA
Source: RNAcentral